UCUGUACAGUCUAGUACAGAUAUAGGCCAUUUCAGACUUUAACUGGUUUGUAGUUCUAAUUGCCAAUAGUUUGCACGUCAUAGUCAUUCAAUAAUUAUUACUUUUUGAUGAUUAUUUUAAUAAUAUGGACACAUUUUAGAGGUGAAAAGCCCAAAAUUACACAUUUUUGUUUCCAUAGCAACCAUCCUAGAACCCAAUUUCCCCAACAUUUUGUUAUCAUGUUUUUAUUAGAAACAUUGACACUUUUCAUUCAUAACCACGUGUUAAAUAGAGGUGGAUGCAGAAAUGUCUAUUUUGUUCAUACAAAAUGUGUAAAAUUUCUCUUCUGAACUAUAUUGAAAAAUGACAUCUGCCUCUGCGGUUGUGACAAUAUUCAGGCCAAACUAUUUUUUAUAUAUGACAUUGCUAUUUUGUUUGUCAAAAUUCAUGUUUCUGAAAAAUAUUUAAAAGUAUCAUUUAAUAAAACCUGGUUUUGAUUACGAAUCACUGCAAAGUACUUGUUUUUUUUCAAUGCCAAAUUCCUCAAAAACUGCGGG
Molecule: long non-coding RNA, 536 nt
Filed under: Mytilus galloprovincialis (Mediterranean mussel)
Lineage: Eukaryota; Metazoa; Mollusca; Bivalvia; Mytilida; Mytilidae
Source: RNAcentral